RNAcentral lists this long non-coding RNA (1110 nucleotides) under Homo sapiens (human). Its description in RNAcentral is "HSALNT0305832". Lineage: Eukaryota; Metazoa; Chordata; Mammalia; Primates; Hominidae. The record is from RNAcentral.
AAUUAACUUAAGAAGGAUAAAAGAGUUAAACGUAAGACCUAAAAGCAAAAAAUCUAGAAGAAAAUGUAGGCCACCAACCUCAGGGGAAAUGUACUUGUAGUGAAAUGCAUGGUACAAACACACAUUCCCUACUUCCUUGAGUGGGUGAGGUUGGUGGCUGGUCCAUCUGCUCCAAGUGGACCCUUACAGAUGUGGCUGGUUGCUCUUUGAGCCAGCUUGGCCUUGCCCGGCAUGCACAAGCAUCAGUGAAUAACUGUGCUAUAAAUGGAGCCACAUAGAGGAAAUGAGCAGCAGGCUCAAGACCAGGGUGUGCACUGCCUUUGGGGCUCCAGUCCGUGCCUCAGGGAUGGUAUGGCACUGCGAGCUUCUUGGUUGCCAAGAGGCAGACCACAGGCCAUCUUGAGGAGGACUUUAUGUUCAAGUGCAGAAAACAGCCAGGAUUACCACCCAGGGGACUUGGCCUUCUGUGGCCGUGGCCAGACUUAGAAUUUGUGUCAAGGCAUGGCAAGCUCACUCGGAGCAGCGUGUUGGUACCUGGGGCCUGUGCAUGCCAGACAAGGCCAGGCUGGCUCAAAGAGCAACCAGCCACCUCUGCAAGGGUGCGCCUGGACCAGGUGGACUAGCCACCAACCUCACCCACAGAAGGAAGCAGGGGUGACCAGGUUACGAGAGCCUGAGUAGCUGCCACCUGAGGGCUGAUGGAGCAGAGGCCCGAGGAAAAUCAGAUGGCACGUUUAACUGUUUAAUGGAUCUUAAGUUAAUUUUUCUAUAAAGCAGAUGUCACCAGUCCAUGCCUCAGAGCUCGUAUGGCACUGCAGACCACAGAAGGCCGAGUCCCCUGGGUGGCAAUCCUGGCUGCUUUCUGCACUUGAACAUAAAGUCCUCCUCAAGACGGCCUGUGGUCUGCCUCUUGGCCCUACCUUUAGGGUAGAAGAACUGAUGUACCAUGUCCGGCCGCUAGUGGGUGAGUGGUGCACCUGCUCCUGGCACACCCUUGCAGAGGUGGCUGGUUGCUCUUUGAGCCAGCUUGGCCUUCCCUGGCAUGCACAAGCCUCAGUGCAACAACUGUGCUACAAAUGGAGCCACAGAGAGGAAACGAGCAGCAGGGUC